This is a long non-coding RNA of Zea mays, 1580 nucleotides long. RefSeq lists it as uncharacterized. The record is from RefSeq and is a predicted model, not a curated record. NCBI's taxonomy places the organism in Eukaryota, Viridiplantae, Streptophyta, Magnoliopsida, Poales, Poaceae. The transcript has 3 exons.
GACACGAUAAUGCCAUGAGACUGAAAAUAGUGUUGAAGCUUUCUUGAAGCCAUCAAGACUGCAUACAUGACCUUUUCCAUCUCUAUGUAAUUUCUUUUGGACGGGACCGACACUUCAGACAUAAAGUAGACAAGCAUUUGCCUUUUCACACCUUCAUCUAGGGCUGGAAAAAAAGCUCGAGGCUCGUGAGCCGGCUCGGGCUCGUUAAGGCUCGGCUCGGCUCGGAGAGGCUCGAGACUCUAAACGAGCCCGAGCCGAGCCUAAUUCCACGGCUCGCUACAGUAUCGAGCCGAGCCGAGCCGGCUUGUCAAGGCUCGCGAGCCGGCUCGAGGCUCGGCCCAAAUCUGAACAGCUGAAGGCCCAACUCUGUCGCUGACCUAGGGUAUCAAACUUACCAUUUUGUUCGGUUGUUCCUAAUUCCUAUCAUCCGUCGGCCGCUGCCCCGAUCUGCUCACCGCUCACGCGACGCGCCGAGCCGCCGACGACCGCGGCCGUGACCCGCCCGUCCCGCCGUGCGGCUGUGAUGCUGAGUCUGUGACCGUGAUUCCGUUCCCUCCAGGCAGGCUGCUGGCUGCCAAUCUGCCAUCCGCCGACCGCCGCCCAUCCCUCCAGGCUCCAGCGAUGGCAUAGGCUGUCAGGCGUCACCGCAUCAGCUACUCAGGUCAGGUUAGUGAGCUCGUCAUUCCAAUCUAAUGCUUCCUCAUCUUUGAGUAUUGAAAGAUAUUUGAUGAACAUCAAGUUGUGUUUGAAUUAGAAGAUGUUCGUAGUGAGUUAGAAAAACUUUAUGGGGAUUUUGAGGUGCAGCAUAGAGAGAGAAAAGAGUCUCAAAGCAAAUCUAAUGCUUCCUCAUCUUUGAGUAUUGAAAGAUCAUGUAGUUUGCCAUCCGCUUCAUGUCAAUUUCAGUCUUUCUUGUCAUCAACUCAGUCUAACCCAUCAAAGAGCGAGUUGCUUAUCUAUUUGGAGGAGACUAAUGUGUGUUUAUCAGACAAAGAGUUUGAUUUGCUGAAUUGGUGGAAGGUUAAUUCACAUAGAUUUCCAGUGGUGUCGAGAAUGGCAAAGAAAUUCCUAACUAUUCCGGCGACAUCUGUGUCUUCAGAGUCUACUUUUAGCACGGGAGGUAGAACUCUAGAUGAUUAUCGUAGUUCUCUAAGGCCUUCAAUGGUGGAGGCAUUGGUAUGCUCUUCUAGCUGGAUCCGAGGAACACAUGAUGGAAGCAUGAUAUAUGUGGAAGAAGAUGAUGAGGACAAUGUUGAGAACAUUAUGUUCCCAAAAAGCUUGGUGGAAAGCAACUAAAUUUGGAAGAAUUGGAUGGAGACAAGACAAGCUAAGCUAAGGAGACGUCAAGAGUCAAGACUCAAGAGAAGAUGCAUCAUACUACUGCUGCUGCUUGAGAAUAUACUGCUUUGUUGAGAACAUUAUGUUGAGAAUAUUAUGUUUUGAGAACAUUAUGUUUUGAGUUGAAUAUACUGCUACUAAUUUCCAGUGCUGAAUAUAUACUACUCUUUGUUGAAUAUAUAUACUACUCUUUCCAGUGCUGAUUUCUAAUACUCUUUGAUGAGAACAUUAUGUUUUGAGCUGAA